UCCGUAGGCGGCCGUGUGUGUCGGGUGUGAAAUCCUGCAGCUUAACUGUAGAAUUGCGCCCGAAACUACACGGCUAGAGUAUUGGAGAGGUGAGUGGAAUUCCAGGUGUAGCGGUGAAAUGCGUAGAUAUCUGGAGGAACACCAACGGCGAAGGCAGCUCACUGGACAAUUACUGACGCUGAGGGACGAAAGUGUGGGGAGCAAAAG
This 207-nucleotide ribosomal RNA is filed under the name uncultured bacterium. RNAcentral describes it as "partial 16S ribosomal RNA". It matches the Rfam family "Bacterial small subunit ribosomal RNA", at positions 568 to 774 of the family's 1533-position model. The record is from RNAcentral.